UGUUAUAGCUCAGUGGUAGAGCACUUCCUUGGUAAGGAAGAGGUCCCGAGUUCAAAUCUCGGUA
This 64-nucleotide transfer RNA is filed under the name Phocaeicola faecalis. It matches the Rfam family "tRNA", at positions 6 to 65 of the family's 71-position model. From Rfam's summary of the family: Transfer RNA (tRNA) molecules are approximately 80 nucleotides in length. Their secondary structure includes four short double-helical elements and three loops (D, anti-codon, and T loops). RNAcentral also lists the same sequence under 2 other names. Lineage: Bacteria; Pseudomonadati; Bacteroidota; Bacteroidia; Bacteroidales; Bacteroidaceae. The record is from RNAcentral.